This 466-nucleotide ribosomal RNA is filed under the name uncultured bacterium. RNAcentral describes it as "partial 16S ribosomal RNA". It matches the Rfam family "Bacterial small subunit ribosomal RNA", at positions 28 to 507 of the family's 1533-position model. The record is from RNAcentral.
GACGAACGCUGGUGGCGUGCUUAACACAUGCAAGUCGAACGGGAAGUUCAGUUCUUGCACUGGUACUCGAGUGGCGAACGGGUGAUUAACACGUGGGUUAUCUGCCUUGGACGCUGGGAUAUGCUUGUGAAACUGGGUCUAAUACCGGAUAUGAACUGUCGCUAGAGGGUGGGUUGGAAAGGGUUUUCGGUGCAGGAUGAGCUCGCGGCCUAUCAGCUUGUUGGUGGGGUAAUGGCCUACCAAGGCGUCGGCGGGUAGCCGGCCUGAGAGGGUGUACGGCCACAUUGGGACUGAGCUACGGCACAGACUCCUACGGGAGGCAGCAGUGGGGAAUAUUGCACAAUGGGCGGAAGCCUGAUGCAGCGACGCCGCGUGGGGGAUGACGGCCUUCGGGUUGUAAACUACUUUCGACAGGGACGAAGCGUAAGUGACGGUACCUGUAGAAGAAGCACCGGCUAACUCCGUG